Molecule: ribosomal RNA, 457 nt
Filed under: uncultured bacterium
Lineage: Bacteria
Description: partial 16S ribosomal RNA
Rfam family: Bacterial small subunit ribosomal RNA
Source: RNAcentral
CCUACGGGAGGCAGCAGUGGGGAAUAUUGCACAAUGGGGGAAACCCUGAUGCAGCGACGCCGCGUGAGUGAAGAAGUAUUUCGGUACGUAAAGCUCUAUCAGCAGGGAAGAAAACAAGUCCUUUGGACUUUUGACGGUACCUGACCAAGAAGCCCCGGCUAACUACGUGCCAGCAGCCGCGGUAAUACGUAGGGGGCAAGCGUUAUCCGGAUUUACUGGGUGUAAAGGGAGCGUAGACGGCAGCGCAAGUCUGGAGUGAAAUGCCGGGGCCCAACCCCGGAACUGCUUUGGAAACUGUGCAGCUGGAGUGCAGGAGAGGUAAGCGGAAUUCCUAGUGUAGCGGUGAAAUGCGUAGAUAUUAGGAGGAACACCAGUGGCGAAGGUGGCUUACUGGACUGUAACUGACGUUGAGGCUCGAAAGCGUGGGGAGCAAACAGGAUUAGAUACCCUUGUAGUC